Molecule: unclassified non-coding RNA, 258 nt
Filed under: uncultured Gammaproteobacteria bacterium
Lineage: Bacteria; Pseudomonadati; Pseudomonadota; Gammaproteobacteria
Description: contains 16S-23S intergenic spacer region
Source: RNAcentral
UCCGGUUUGUCACCGGCAGUCUCAUUAGAGUGCCCAACUGAAUGUAGCAACUAAUGACAAGGGUUGCGCUCGUUGCGGGACUUAACCCAACAUCUCACGACACGAGCUGACGACAGCCAUGCAGCACCUGUGUUCCCGUUCCCUUUCGGGCACACCCGGCUUUCACCAGGUUCCAGGACAUGUCAAGGGUAGGUAAGGUUUUUCGCGUUGCAUCGAAUUAAUCCACAUCUAAUGAGCAUCGUUUAGGGCCAGGACUAC